Molecule: transfer RNA, 64 nt
Filed under: Dipodomys ordii (Ord's kangaroo rat)
Lineage: Eukaryota; Metazoa; Chordata; Mammalia; Rodentia; Heteromyidae
Rfam family: tRNA
About the family: Transfer RNA (tRNA) molecules are approximately 80 nucleotides in length.
Source: Rfam by way of RNAcentral
GGGAAGUUGGCUCAGUGGUAGAGCGCUUGCCUCGCAUGCAUGAGGCCAUGGAUUCGAUUCCUCA